RNAcentral lists this transfer RNA (86 nucleotides) under Armatimonadota bacterium. RNAcentral describes it as "Armatimonadetes bacterium (sediment metagenome) tRNA-Tyr". It matches the Rfam family "tRNA". From Rfam's summary of the family: Transfer RNA (tRNA) molecules are approximately 80 nucleotides in length. Their secondary structure includes four short double-helical elements and three loops (D, anti-codon, and T loops). Lineage: Bacteria; Bacillati; Armatimonadota. RNAcentral also lists the same sequence under 1 other name. The record is from RNAcentral.
GGGGAGAUGCCCGAGCGGUCAAAGGGAGCAGACUGUAAAUCUGCCGGCUGAUGCCUACGCAGGUUCGAAUCCUGCUCUCCCCACCA